Molecule: long non-coding RNA, 2242 nt
Organism: Melopsittacus undulatus (budgerigar)
Lineage: Eukaryota; Metazoa; Chordata; Aves; Psittaciformes; Psittaculidae
Exons: 4
Source: RefSeq, a predicted model, not a curated record
AACCUCGGAGGGGCUGAGAAGCCGAACCCGUUACCGGGGAGGUUCCUGACCGGCCGUGGACUCCGCCGGCCCCCACCCCUUUCCCGCCGGUACCUGGCGCCGGCUCGGCGGGACUCUGUGCCCCUCGGCUGUGGCCGUCCUGGAAGCGGACCUGGCGGAAGCCACCGGGCACGACGCCCCAGAGGCGGCUGGCAGUGCCGCGCAGGAGGCGGCCGCCCUUGCCGGUGAAGGUGGUGAGGUAGUCCAUGGCGGGAGCUACUAACGGCCGCGGAACCCCAUGGCCGGGCCGGGCCGGACAAGCAGCUCCACCAGCCCCGCUCCACAACUCAGGCAAACUUUGGAGCUCGGCCCCGCCUCCAUUUAAAGGGGCCGCGCUGCCGCCGCCGGCGCUGGGUGCGGACGAUUGCGACCUGGUAGUAGCGUGGGGAGCGGGCCGCGACAACCGAGGGUACGGGGGCCUGAGGCCACUCUUGCACCCCUCGCCGGCCCGGAGCAGGACCCGGAGCAGGGGCCUCGGCCGGGGCCGAUCCGCUGGCACCUCACGGGGCCGGGUGUCCCGGUGCGGGGCUGUGCGUGUGAGGCCGUUCUCCAGUGGAGGGGCAGCGGCUCCUCAGGCGGAGGCGCCUCACAGCUUUCCAGUGAGUCACUUUUUAAUACAGGCCGACGGAGCGAGGAGGCAGCCUCCCGAACUGCUCUGCUGCAAGAAGAUGGCCCGUCGUCGGCACGGCUGCUAGGAGCUAAGGCCCGAGAGCAGGCCGGGUGGGCACCUGGAUCUCCUCACUGCCUGCGUGACCACUUGGGACAUCACUGCCUUUCAGUCUCAGACACUCAUCAAGAAGGAAGCUGUCAUCUGCAUACUAGCCUCAGAAAUGCUAAACCUGGAAUUUCAGACUUAACAAGGUGGCCAGACCCUAGAACCAUAUGAAAACACAAGUCAGAAGCUGCAGGCAACGGAGGAACUGCAUGAGAAUCCCCCACCACUGAGAAAGGAAAUAACAGCAACAAGUCUGACAAGAAACUAAGUCUACUACAAACAUAUCUCCUGGUUACAAAGGACGAGCCUGUUUGCCACAAAUAUAGGUGCCUGUGGAACAAAACCAAAAAGCCAAACUUUUCUUCACGUAAGGAAAAUAAUUUUCCAAAGAACUCAAUAUCCUUUAAUGGAGUUAACAUUUCAGAAAACCUUCUAUAGUCCGUGAACAUUUAAUAUCCCAGCACAUCGGUCUGUAGUGAACUCCAAGGAUAUGGGCCAUGGACUGAAGCAAAAUUCCACUAAAGCAAAUGCAGCAUCAUGGACUGCACCAUUGCAACUCCAUGAAUUAGCAAAGGCGGUAAAUUAUGCACACAAAAAAAAUGCAACCCCAUGUAAUAUUCAUUCCCUCUUCUCUCAGCUGGGUAACCUCUACAAGCAGCAUGCAGAAACUCCGGUUUGCUCUAGCCAAAGGUUGUAUGUAUGCAUCCUGCCCCCACCUUCCUGCACCAAAUACGUCAGUGAAUCAACUGCAGUUUCAUGAAUCAACACCAACUCCCUCUCCACAGUUUCAACAAACUUCUGAGAGUUACAAAUCAGAAAGUAAGUUUUCAUUUUCACAGUAAGGAAGUUCACUCAACAGCAAAGUUAGUGUUCCUUUCUGUGAGAAUCAAGGUAAUAAUAGAUUUUCUUACAUAUAUAUUCACAAAGUUAUUGGUAAAGAAUUUAUUUUGUACCUUGGAAAUCCAACAAGUGCUGAGCCAGAUGAAAAAUAGAAACAAAACAGAGAAUGGAGUUAGCAGUACUGAGCUGGUGUCUUGUUCUUUUUACCAAUCAAAACCACCACAAUAAUAAAGCAGUCACAGUGUUGCUCGAUAUUUACUAACAGACCAUUAAAAUUGUUGUCAGUGGACUUGCUGACUCUUUGGCAGGGCAGGCUGCAAACUGCUUUUAUGUGCAUUUAUUGAAUGAUUUCCCAAUUUUUUAAUGAUAAAACAUGUUCAGGCUCAUUUAGACACAAACAGCAAUAAAGCAGAGUUCAGCAUUUUAAUAAGAGAUGCAUAAUGUUGUCUUCCUUCAGCCAAAAAGGUCCUUGAUUUUAAAGGCAGCCAUUCCUUGUGAUUUUACUGAAGAGAAACAUGCAGCUCUCCUGCCCACUUAUGACUGAAUGAUAAAUUACAUUCAAAUGUCUGAAAUUUUCCACACAGCUCUUUUGUUUCAGCUAAAGUAAAAACAAAUUCUUUCUUAUAAUCUUUGCAUUCUGCAGUAUAA